GACGAACGCUGGCGGCGUGCCUAAUACAUGCAAGUCGAACGCUUCUUUCCUCCCGAGUGCUUGCACUCAAUUGGAAAGAGGAGGGGCGGACGGGGGAGUAACACGUGGGUAACCUACCCAUCAGAGGGGGAUAACACUUGGAAACAGGUGCUAAUACCGCAUAACAGUUUAUGCCGCAUGGCAUAAGAGUGAAAGGCGCUCUCGGGUGUCGCUGAUGGAUGGACCCGCGGUGCAUUAGCUAGUUGGUGAGGUAACGGCCCACCAAGGCGACGAUGCAUAGCCGGCCUGAGAGGGUGAUCGGCCACACUGGAACUGAGACACGGCCCAGACUCCUACGGGAGGCAGCAGUAGGGAAUCUUCGGCAAUGGACGAAAGUCUGACCGAGCAACGCCGCGUGAGUGAAGAAGGUUUUCGGAUCGUAAAACUCUGUUGUUAGAGAAGAACAAGGACGUUAGUAACUGAACGUCUCCUGACGGUACCUAACCAGAAAGCCACGGCUAACUACGUG
Molecule: ribosomal RNA, 508 nt
Filed under: uncultured bacterium
Lineage: Bacteria
Description: partial 16S ribosomal RNA
Rfam family: Bacterial small subunit ribosomal RNA
Source: RNAcentral